UACGGAGGAUGCAAGCGUUAUCCGGAAUGAUUGGGCGUAAAGCGUCCGCAGGUGGUUAUACAAGUCUGCUGUCAAAGCGCAAGGCUCAACCUUGUAAAGGCAGUGGAAACUGUGUGACUAGAGAGUGAUAGGGGCAGAGGGAAUUCCCAGUGUAGCGGUGAAAUGCGUAGAGAUUGGGAAGAACACCGGUGGCGAAAGCGCUCUGCUGGGUCAUAUCUGACACUGAGGGACGAAAGCUAGGGGAGCGAAAGGG
Molecule: ribosomal RNA, 253 nt
Filed under: uncultured bacterium
Lineage: Bacteria
Description: partial 16S ribosomal RNA
Rfam family: Bacterial small subunit ribosomal RNA
Source: RNAcentral